This 764-nucleotide long non-coding RNA is filed under the name Selaginella moellendorffii. Its description in RNAcentral is "long non-coding RNA (SMOE_LNC000434)". Lineage: Eukaryota; Viridiplantae; Streptophyta; Lycopodiopsida; Selaginellales; Selaginellaceae. The record is from RNAcentral.
GAAGAAAGAGUUUUUACUCUUCUCAAGAUUGUGAGAUACACUUGGAACAGCUUCAAGAAAAGACAUAAGUAAAAUAAGAAAAUACUAACUUAGGAAUCUUGGAACCAUUCAGCUCCUCCACAGUAUCCACUAAUGCAUGUGACCAUGUUAAUCCAUUUGAACACCGCAUGCCAAUCCCUUGAACAAAUUCCUUCAACACCAUUGAUAUUGUGUGGAUUGCCAUGCACCAUGCGCUGCAUGCUUGCAAAGAAUGCCCUGGAAGAUCCCAUGAGAAGCACGCUGGAGCCAAAGAGAUUGAAUGAUUCGGCCCUGCUCCACCUGACCACUGGAAAAUUGGCCACUUCUGGAGUGCCCAUUCAUUGAUCUAGGAUGUGAGCUCUCUUGCAGCAUGUCCUGCUCACUGUGAAGAAUGAUUUAUGGGCUAGAGCAAUACUGACCGAUUGAGCCGUGUGGAGCUGUCUAGUCCCAGAGGAAUUCCUGGGAGUAUACCUUGUGAUACACUGGCGACAGGGGAUGAUGCUAAACCUUGCAUGAACCGUGAACAUCCCCGUACUCGAGCGGCACAAGCUCCUGGGCCUCCACCUCUGGUGCUGGUAUCCUCAUCCGGGGUAGAAGUUUUGCGGCUGCAAGGGCGGAGGAGGAGCUGCAGUAAAGGAGAGUUUUACACCUCCUAGGGCGCACAACAAACAAACAGGUGUCAUGCCCACCUUCUGGGCCGGCCCAAAAUAUUUUAGAAAUUACGGCACCGAUUGGGGCAAUAGCAA